Molecule: long non-coding RNA, 1706 nt
Organism: Neogale vison (American mink)
Lineage: Eukaryota; Metazoa; Chordata; Mammalia; Carnivora; Mustelidae
Exons: 3
Source: RefSeq, a predicted model, not a curated record
AAUUUAAUUUAAAAAUCUUAAAAAAAAAAAGAAAAGAAAAACAGAACAGCAUGAGGGGUUUCACAGAGCAGUCGAUGGUGUAGGCUGUAAUUUCAAAUACUGAGGUCAACGUAACUUCACAGAGGCCAACUAGGAGCUAAUACAGUAGCUGAGAGAGUUAACCACAAGGACAGCUAGGGGAAGGACUGCCAGUGCAGGCAAAGGCCCAGGGGCAGGAAUGUGCCUGGCAUGUUCCAGGAAGCUACUGCAGCUGAGGCGUAGAAAGGGGAAGGGAGCAGAACAGAAGAAGGAGAGAAAAACAGGCCAGAGCAGGCUGUUUGGCUCUGGCUCUGAGGGAUGUGCAGAGCCACAGAGUCAUUAGCAGACAAGCCACAUGACUAAGAGAUUGAAAAACUACAGUCCAAGAGUAUGUCUGGAACUUUCCCUAAUGAACAGUUAAAAUAAAAGGCUAACUCUAGCAGCUGGGUUGCAAAGAAGUCAUGAGGGAUGGGACAAAGUGGAAGCAAGGAGAUUCAUUCCGGUCUACUCAGUAAUCCAGGUGGACAACGACCAGGCUGGUGGUUCCAGUAGAUGAAGAAUGGAUCCUACGGCCAUCAGGGAGCACCCACCAUGUGCCAACCGCUGCAGCACGGCAGGAUCUUCUCUGCCACAUGGACGGAUGUCACCUCGCCUGGGCAUAUGUUCUCCAAACCCACACCUACCUAGCAGCUCAGAGAGAUGGAGAAGAGCAAGAACACAAACCUUACUCGGCAGCCAGAGGAGCUGGAUAGCCGUGGCACAUGGAGCACUAAGGAGGCAAGCCAACAGGGGUUCUCUCCUGGCCAGGCGGCUGGAAUAAAAACAGGAAAUGCAUUGUUCCAUUUACAGAACUUGUCUACUCUCUGGUAAAGUCUAUACUAUGCAAGUAUUUGUUCUGAGAAUAGUUUGUUGCUGCUGUUUUCUGUCCCCCUGCCCCCCCCCAAAGUCAUUGAGUUUUAUAGAGUCUGGCUCAAUGCAGAGCUCACAGUAACCAACCAGGAGGCAAGAGAGGCUCGGAAAAGAGAAGACCAGGCCAAAAUGUGCAAGAAUCAACUCCUGACGGCCACAGGACAGAGGACCGUGUCCCCUGAAUUUUGUGGGGCAAGUGGCUGUUAGUUACAUCCGGGUUGGACUUUGGUGCAUUAAUCUUGGUCACCCUCCCAUGGUAAGUCUUUCAUGUAUCUCCUCUGUGCUCCCAGGAGCAAGACAAAAUCCCAGCUGAACACCAGAAGUGGGAAUAAGGACAGCUGAGCCAGACUUGUAAAGGAAGAGCCCCAAAGGGCAGCACAGGCGGGGACAAGCCCACAGCAUGUGAAAGCAGUCUGAGUCUCCGAGACAGCCAUGAGCAGGGAAGGACACUUGGGGCUCUGGCUUGGGUCACCACACUUGGCCUGAUAACUUACAAAGACAGCCUCCUCCAGGGAGUUCCUGAGCCAAAGCAAACUGGUCCUAAAUGUGGAAUUUUUAGGCACAAUUUUCUCCAUCAUUGAGCUGUGUUAGCAAAGAACUGCCUCUUAAGACAAAUUUAUGAAAAUCUGGUGCUUUCUUGUGAUGAGCACUGGGUAUUAUAUUGAAAUGUGGAAUCUCUAUAUUGUUGACUUCAAACUAAUUUUGCACUGUAUGUUGACUAACUAGCAUUUGAAUAAAGACUUAAAAAAAAAUAAAGUUACAUCUGGUGCUUUAAAAAA